Molecule: ribosomal RNA, 433 nt
Filed under: uncultured bacterium
Lineage: Bacteria
Description: partial 16S ribosomal RNA
Rfam family: Bacterial small subunit ribosomal RNA
Source: RNAcentral
AACGAACGCUGGCGGCAUGCCUAACACAUGCAAGUCGAACGAGACCUUCGGGUCUAGUGGCGCACGGGUGCGUAACGCGUGGGAACCUGCCCUUAGGUUCGGAAUAACUCCCCGAAAGGGGUGCCAAUACCGGAUAAUGUCUUCGGACCAAAGAUUUAUCGCCUUUGGAUGGGCCCGCGUUGGAUUAGCUAGUUGGUAGGGUAAAAGCCUACCAAGGCGACGAUCCAUAGCUGGUCUGAGAGGAUGAUCAGCCACACUGGGACUGAGACACGGCCCAGACUCCUACGGGAGGCAGCAGUGGGGAAUAUUGGACAAUGGGCGAAAGCCUGAUCCAGCAAUGCCGCGUGAGUGAUGAAGGCCUUAGGGUUGUAAAGCUCUUUUACCCGGGAUGAUAAUGACAGUACCGGGAGAAUAAGCGCCGGCUAACUCCGUG